AUUGAACGCUGGCGGCAUGCCUUACACAUGCAAGUCGAACGGUAACGGGCCUUCGGGUGCCGACGAGUGGCGAACGGGUGAGUAAUACAUCGGAACGUGCCCGAUCGUGGGGGAUAACGAGGCGAAAGCUUUGCUAAUACCGCAUACGAUCUACGGAUGAAAGCAGGGGACCGCAAGGCCUUGCGCGGACGGAGCGGCCGAUGGCAGAUUAGGUAGUUGGUGGGAUAAAAGCUUACCAAGCCGACGAUCUGUAGCUGGUCUGAGAGGAUGAUCAGCCACACUGGGACUGAGACACGGCCCAGACUCCUACGGGAGGCAGCAGUGGGGAAUUGUGGACAAUGGGCGCAAGCCUGAUCCAGCCAUGCCGCGUGCAGGAUGAAGGCCUUCGGGUUGUAAACUGCUUUUGUACGGAACGAAAAGCCUUCUUUUAAUACAGGAGGGUCAUGACGGUACCGGAAGAAUAAGCACCGGCUAACUACGUG
This 482-nucleotide ribosomal RNA is filed under the name uncultured bacterium. RNAcentral describes it as "partial 16S ribosomal RNA". It matches the Rfam family "Bacterial small subunit ribosomal RNA", at positions 30 to 507 of the family's 1533-position model. The record is from RNAcentral.